Molecule: long non-coding RNA, 436 nt
Organism: Zalophus californianus (California sea lion)
Lineage: Eukaryota; Metazoa; Chordata; Mammalia; Carnivora; Otariidae
Exons: 3
Source: RefSeq, a predicted model, not a curated record
UAAAAAAAUACGGGGUAUUUACUUCACGAGUUCAUUAAAGAAAAUGUUCCAAAGACAAAUACUACUUCUGCAAGAUUAGACAUGGAAGAAUCCUUUAAACCAUGAGAAGAGAGAUCUCCAGAAAGGAUAAUUUAUAGACUUCAAGAACAACCUAAUGUGAACCAGCUACUGAUCUCUCACUUUGUGCCAAGAACUAUUCCAGAUUGAGGGAGAGUGAAGAGCAAGAAACAGUACCCAGAAUGAAAUGAUUAUUCGCUGGUUGGGGUGGAAUCAAAACCAAAACCACCUUGUUCAAUAACUUCCCAACAUGGAGUCACUGAAUAGAGAAAUCCACAAUAAUAAAGUUAAAAGUUAUCUGUGUUUUUUCAAAACAAUCAAACGUAACAAUUAAAAUGGUAUGUGUUUUCCUGGGUAGACAAUUGGACUUUGGGUAUGU